UACGGGUAGCGCGAGUGUUAUUCCUCUUGAUUGGGCGUAAAGGGUGUGUAGGCGGUAUAAUAAGUUAGAAAUGAAAAACUAUGCUGGUCAAUUGAUGAUUUCUAAAACUAUUAUGCUAGAGUGGUAAUAAAGAUGGUAGAACUUCUUGCAUCAGAUUUAAAAUGCGUUUAUACAAGAAGGAAUCCCAAAGGCGAAGGCAACCAUCUAAUUAUUUCUGACGCUGAGACACGAAGGCAUGGGUAUCGAAUAGG
RNAcentral lists this ribosomal RNA (251 nucleotides) under uncultured prokaryote. Its description in RNAcentral is "partial 16S ribosomal RNA". It matches the Rfam family "Bacterial small subunit ribosomal RNA", at positions 524 to 776 of the family's 1533-position model. The record is from RNAcentral.